Molecule: ribosomal RNA, 199 nt
Filed under: Penicillium sp. 2-54
Lineage: Eukaryota; Fungi; Ascomycota; Eurotiomycetes; Eurotiales; Aspergillaceae
Description: partial 28S ribosomal RNA
Source: RNAcentral
GACCAGACUCGCCCACGGGGUUCAGCCGGCAUUCGUGCCGGUGUACUUCCCCGCGGGCGGGCCAGCGUCGGUUUGGGCGGCCGGUCAAAGGCCCUCGGAAUGUAACGCCCCCCGGGGCGUCUUAUAGCCGAGGGUGCCAUGCGGCCAGCACAGACCGAGGAACGCGCUUCGGCUCGGACGCUGGCAUAAUGGUCGUAAA